CAAAGGUCCGAGUCCUCCUAAAUCUAAUAGGACGAGACCAACGGCAACGCCCAAGGAGCAGAGGAGAGUCUCUCCACUCCCUUGGCAGAGACCUCAACCUCUCCAAACGGCAACGCCCAAGGAGCAGAGGAGAGUCUCUCCACUGCCUUGGCAGAGACCUCAACCUCUCCAAACGGCAACGCUCGAGGAGCAGAGGAGAGUCUCUCCACUGCCUUGGCAGAGACCUCAACCUCUCCAAACGGGAUUUAGAGACGACCAACGGUCCACGAUUAUAUGCUCUCAAGAGGUAACAAACACACACUAGCACCCUCUCCAGUUCAGC
RNAcentral lists this long non-coding RNA (322 nucleotides) under Capsella rubella. Its description in RNAcentral is "long non-coding RNA (CRUB_LNC002917)". Lineage: Eukaryota; Viridiplantae; Streptophyta; Magnoliopsida; Brassicales; Brassicaceae. The record is from RNAcentral.